AGCUUGCUACCUGACCUAGCGGCGGACGGGUGAGUAAUGCUUAGGAAUCUGCCUAUUAGUGGGGGACAACAUUCCGAAAGGAAUGCUAAUACCGCAUACGCCCUACGGGGGAAAGCAGGGGAUCUUCGGACCUUGCGCUAAUAGAUGAGCCUAAGUCAGAUUAGCUAGUUGGUGGGGUAAAGGCCUACCAAGGCGACGAUCUGUAGCGGGUCUGAGAGGAUGAUCCGCCACACUGGGACUGAGACACGGCCCAGACUCCUACGGGAGGCAGCAGUGGGGAAUAUUGGACAAUGGGCGAAAGCCUGAUCCAGCCAUGCCGCGUGUGUGAAGAAGGCCUUUUGGUUGUAAAGCACUUUAAGCGAGGAGGAGGCUACUUGGAUUAAUACUCUAGGAUAGUGGACGUUACUCGCAGAAUAAGCACCGGCUAACUCUGCGCCAGCAGCCGCGGUAAUACAGAGGGUGCGAGCGUUAAUCGGAUUUACUGGGCGUAAAGCGUGCGUAGGCGGCUUUUUAAGUCGGAUGUGAAAUCCCUGAGCUUAACUUAGGAAUUGCAUUCGAUACUGGGAAGCUAGAGUAUGGGAGAGGAUGGUAGAAUUCCAGGUGUAGCGGUGAAAUGCGUAGAGAUCUGGAGGAAUACCGAUGGCGAAGGCAGCCAUCUGGCCUAAUACUGACGCUGAGGUACGAAAGCAUGGGGAGCAAACAGGAUUAGAUACCCUGGUAGUCCAUGCCGUAAACGAUGUCUACUAGCCGUUGGGGCCUUUGAGGCUUUAGUGGCGCAGCUAACGCGAUAAGUAGACCGCCUGGGGAGUACGGUCGCAAGACUAAAACUCAAAUGAAUUGACGGGGGCCCGCACAAGCGGUGGAGCAUGUGGUUUAAUUCGAUGCAACGCGAAGAACCUUACCUGGUCUUGACAUAGUAAGAACUUUCCAGAGAUGGAUUGGUGCCUUCGGGAACUUACAUACAGGUGCUGCAUGGCUGUCGUCAGCUCGUGUCGUGAGAUGUUGGGUUAAGUCCCGCAACGAGCGCAACCCUUUUCCUUAUUUGCCAGCGGGUUAAGCCGGGAACUUUAAGGAUACUGCCAGUGACAAACUGGAGGAAGGCGGGGACGACGUCAAGUCAUCAUGGCCCUUACGACCAGGGCUACACACGUGCUACAAUGGUCGGUACAAAGGGUUGCUACCUAGCGAUAGGAUGCUAAUCUCAAAAAGCCGAUCGUAGUCCGGAUUGGAGUCUGCAGCUCGACUCCAUGAAGUCG
This 1256-nucleotide ribosomal RNA is filed under the name uncultured Acinetobacter sp. Its description in RNAcentral is "bacterial SSU rRNA". It matches the Rfam family "Bacterial small subunit ribosomal RNA", at positions 77 to 1328 of the family's 1533-position model. The record is from RNAcentral. Lineage: Bacteria; Pseudomonadati; Pseudomonadota; Gammaproteobacteria; Moraxellales; Moraxellaceae.